UACAGAGGUCCCAAGCGUUGUUCGGAUUCACUGGGCGUAAAGGGUGCGUAGGUGGCCGGGAAAGUCUGAUGUGAAAGCUCCGGGCUCAACUCGGAAACGGCAUUGGAAACUAUUCGGCUUGAGGGUCGGAGGGGAGACUGGAAUUCUCGGUGUAGCAGUGAAAUGCGUAGAUAUCGAGAGGAACACCAGUGGCGAAGGCGAGUCUCUGGACGACCCCUGACGCUGAGGCACGAAAGCUAGGGGAGCGAACAGG
Molecule: unclassified non-coding RNA, 253 nt
Filed under: uncultured Verrucomicrobiota bacterium
Lineage: Bacteria; Pseudomonadati; Verrucomicrobiota
Description: uncultured Verrucomicrobia bacterium contains 16S-23S intergenic spacer region
Rfam family: Bacterial small subunit ribosomal RNA
Source: RNAcentral